CCGGGACGGGGCCGGGAGCGCCCGGGGCGAUGCGGGGCGUCCCUGGGGGCCCUCCCUAGCGCCGGAGCCGCUAGGUUGGGCAAUGUUUGUCCAGAUCAUGUGAGAGAAGGUUAAACAAAAGCUGCUUGCAGAAGAGGAGAGAGGCUAUUGAAACAAUCGAAUACAGGUCUAAAGCUUGUUUUCCUGAAAAUCAGGGAAACAUCCAUAGGGAUUUUGCUGGACCUUGCCCUUGGGCUUGCAGAAGAGCACAGUGAGUGACUGACAGAGUAUUCAUAGAAUCACUUCUCAUCCUUGUCACCAGAGUCUUCCUCUGCUCUUACAGCAGGCUAUCACAUGCUGCUCCCUCAUUUACUUGCAAAAGAUCCCACAGAUACCUCUGUGUUAUUACUGAAGUCUGAUGGAUUCUUGGAAUUGAUGAACUGUAGCUAAGAAGAACAAUAUGUAAAGAAACUGAAAUAAGUUAAAGUAAAUGGGCAGUGCAAUAUCCUUGCUCCUGCAGAGCUCAAGACUUCGCAGUGCAAGCAGGCAUGCUACAGACAAAGAAGGAGGCAAAGGAAGGAUGAGUUUUGCUUUUCUCUUUGGCUGCUUCUGAUUAAGUAAAAUCUGGGCUCUCUGUCUGCAUGGAGGAGGUAACUGAAAGCACUCUGCAGAAGAUGGAGUGGAGAGCAGUGUCCUCUAUAGUGUGUUCUUUGGCACGGAGCCUGGUCACAGGGGUACAUCCACACACCACUAUCAGGGGCAGAUAGGGUUCCCAGAAUGCUUGGUCAAGAAAGGCAUUAUGCUUCCCUUCGAGAAACAACUCUCAGACUCUUCUUGCUGCUGCAGAAGCAGCAUGUGCCUAGAUGCAUUCUUAUCCAACCAAGCCUUCACAGAGAUGUUUAAAACUGUGCAGCAGGAGCCCUGCUAGCACAGUAACUUCAAAUGCAUGUGCCCACAACUGACUUACUUGGCUAGCAGCUAUGGCAAAUGAAACUAGUUUUGCCAGUAGCUUGGGUCGACAUAGUCUUUUUCCCAUUAAAUAGGUCACAAUGUUGUUUUUUGAUUUGUGCUCUUGUUUACUGGAUUCUUACUGUGGCUGACAGCCUGAAGGCACGGUGUUGCAAAGGGAGAGUGGGAUGGCUGGAGGUCUGAUGAGAGAUGUGUCCCUCUUGAUGCAAUGCCUUCUGUAUCUCCCCAGAAGCCCCUGUACAGACAGACAGGAGGUGGGAGACGGGAGGAGAUGGGGUCAGGGCAAGCUUUGCUAUGCAGUUUGAUGAUUGUGCAAUGCCGUGUCCCCAAGCAGAGACUUAAGCCAGUGCAGCAGUGCACUCCAAGGUCUCCCUGCACCAGACCUUAUUUUACCAGAAUGCAUUGCACAUGGGCUGUGCAGGAAAUCGGAUGAAAUAGAUUUGCGGUUAUAUUACGAAAAAAAAAAAAAAAGACUGUGUGAAAUCAGCAUGUUUGUUUAUCUUAUGGAAUGGUCAUAUGAGAGAGCCCUCACCUUCUUUCACCGGUAAAUUGUACAGAUUGUGCCUCCAAGGGUGAUGAGGGACAAAACCAAGACCAUCUCUCUCACGUCUCAGCUGCAAGUGUGCUGUCAGGAAUCAAGGAAGAAUUGUAAAACAGCCAAACAAAGGAGGAAUUUGGCAAUGAUCAUUUUGAAAUAAACCUGUUUGUGACAAGCAGUGACUGUGGCAAUAUUUACGCUAUGAUUCAUACCAAAGUGCAGCACCUGAAGUUCUAGUCUGGAUGACUUUUAGGAUAGAAUCAGCAGCAAAUACUAUUCUAACAUUUAAUAAUGAGCAAGCAAGCAUCAAAGCUGCUCUUGGCUCUGGAACAGUAUUGAUUUAGAGUAGUGUAAGAGCUGGCUGGAAGCAUCUGCACUGCCAGGUGCAUGUUACUUGUAACUGCCUAUCUCUCUGUAUUCACUUGCAGUUUCUCUUCUCUUUAUGUGACAGCUGCUGUUACAAGAAACUCUUAGCUGGCAUAUAUCACAUUAGAGCCCUUUGAGGAUGCUCUCAGAAAGUCCCUUACACUGCCUCCCACUCCUCACUGAUGACAAGACUGAACCUGCAUCUAUGCUAAAGGGCCAGCAAUAGUGCCUGUGUCUGUCAGCUGCAGGCAGCUCCUGGAAGCCUCCUUACAGAGAGAUACAGGCAUGUUAUUCUCUCAGUGCUACUGGAUAAACAAACUGCUACAGCCAGGAAGACAUCAGAGAUGCUUUGUAUGCCUGGUUAUUGAUGCUGUCAAAAGGCAGUUUCUAGAAACUCAGCAAAUUCCAGUGGACACCAGUGGGAGCUGCAUGUUUUUACACUACAAAAACAGCUCUUCUGAGGGAAUCAAAAAGUCAGGUUCCUAUUUCUUUAGAGAAACUCAGCUUCAGAAUAUGAGACUAUUCUUCCUCUCCUGCCCUAAUAAUAUUGAUAAAUACCUGGUUAGAGAAAAAGCCUGUCUUACUGGCUGUCUUACUAAGGGAAAAUGAGAUCAGAAAAGGGGGUGCCUACAGAUUACUUCCUCCAAGAAGAUCUUUGCUUCCAACAAAAUCUUCAACAUUGGACUUCUCAGUCUAGUCCUCAAAGGUACAUAGUGGGUUUUUCCUACCUAAAGUACUUGUGCAGGGAAGGAUCUUCACACAGGCUGGUUGGGUGACUCCUCUGCUUAGCAUUACUUGUUCUCUUAGUUUUUCCCUUUAUUUAACUAUUGAAGCUAGUUUUGAACUGUUUAAAGAAAACACCCAUAAACAUUUAGGUAGGAAAAAAAUUAAGAAAAGCCACAGUUUUUAAAACAGAAAAAUGACUAAUCUAGAGCCUGGAAGAACUGCUUACGUGACAAACCUGCUUGCUUACAUUUUGACUUCUCACCUGUCUCUAGUUUUCUACUUGAAGGAAUUCUUUGUGGGAAAUGCAGGCACAGAAAGCUUCCAAGGCCUUGAGCAAACAAGCUCAGAGAUAGAGAUGGAUACAGUGUUUGACCUUAGACCUUGGAGAAGGCUUGAUGGUUUAGAAUAGACUAAAAUUAGAACAGAGAGAUUAAAUAAGAAUAAAGAUUUGUUGUUUAAGCAGAAAUAUGUUUUAAGCAAGUAGAUAUAGGCCUCAUAUAAGAGAAUGACUAUGCUAAGCAAAAUAGUAGAAUACAAUUAAAGUUUAGCAAUAGAACUUGUUAGAGAGUUGAUCAAAAGUAGAAGAUACAGCAAUAAGUUUUUGUAGAGUUAUAUGAUUGGAUAGAAAAAGUAAAAUGCAGCAAUUAGCAAUUGAUUAUGAAGGUGCUAGUGAGCUUUGUGUAAGUUUAGAAUAAGAAAUUUAUGAAAGACAUUUUACCUAGAAUUAUAAUGGCUUCUGAUACAAGGUUUCUAAUGUAUGGCUUCUAAUGUGAUUAUUCCAUGAGACUGAUUUUGAAAUAAACCAUCUUUUAAAUGCCUU
Long non-coding RNA from Melospiza melodia melodia, 3398 nucleotides. RefSeq lists it as uncharacterized. NCBI's taxonomy places the organism in Eukaryota, Metazoa, Chordata, Aves, Passeriformes, Passerellidae. The record is from RefSeq and is a predicted model, not a curated record. The transcript has 5 exons.